RNAcentral lists this ribosomal RNA (468 nucleotides) under uncultured bacterium. Its description in RNAcentral is "partial 16S ribosomal RNA". It matches the Rfam family "Bacterial small subunit ribosomal RNA", at positions 28 to 507 of the family's 1533-position model. The record is from RNAcentral.
GACGAACGCUGGCGGCGUGCUUAACACAUGCAAGUCGAACGGAAAGGCCCUGCUUUUGUGGGGUGCUCGAGUGGCGAACGGGUGAGUAACACGUGAGUAACCUGCCCUUGACUUUGGGAUAACUUAAGGAAACUGGGGCUAAUACCGGAUAGGAGCUCCUGCUGCAUGGUGGGGGUUGGAAAGUUUCGGCGGUUGGGGAUGGACUGGCGGCUUAUCAGCUUGUUGGUGGGGUGGUGGCUUACCAAGGCUUUGACGGGUAGCCGGCCUGUGAGGGUGACCGGCCACAUUGGGACUGAGGGACGGCCCAGUCUCGUACGGGAGGCAGCAGUGGGGAAUAUUGCACAAUGGGCGGAAGCCUGAGGCAGCAACGCCGCGUGCGGGAUGACGGCCUUCGGGUUGUAAACCGCUUUCGCCUGUGACGAAGCGGGAGUGACGGUAAUGGGUAAAGAAGCACCGGCUAACUACGUG